Molecule: non-coding RNA, 235 nt
Organism: Pelobates cultripes (western spadefoot toad)
Lineage: Eukaryota; Metazoa; Chordata; Amphibia; Anura; Pelobatidae
Source: the annotation of a GenBank genome assembly
CUCAAUUCAUAUCUGGGACAGAUACGCUAUAAAAUACGAACUUACAACAAUAACCUCUCCCCUCACCCCCAUAUACCGAAACAGGGCAUUUAUCCCAGGUAUGAGGCCUAGAGAUUUCAAAGGCCUAGAGAGAGCAGAUCUCCAACGCGUCCACCAACUAUACAUAGGAGAAGAAAUAAUUCCGUUCUCGGAAUUACAAACUAGAACAACUCUGACCCCUGCAGAUUUCUUCAGG